Molecule: long non-coding RNA, 576 nt
Organism: Drosophila rhopaloa
Lineage: Eukaryota; Metazoa; Arthropoda; Insecta; Diptera; Drosophilidae
Exons: 2
Source: RefSeq, a predicted model, not a curated record
CUACUCCUCAUACGUGUUAGAUGUUAGUUAUUUCAACUCAGCUGAACGAAGUUAGUAAUAUUCUAACAAUGAAAUCGAUUACUAUCGCUCUAAUAUUAAUAACCAUAAUGGGCUUUACCAUGGGCUUAAAAGAUCCCAUCUGCAGUCUCCCUCUGGCUGAGGGCCUCGUAUGCAAUAAGAGAGGCCGUGGAGGAUUUGUAUAUAAACUCAAAACGAACACCUGUGAAGAUUGGGGUCGCUGUCAGGGGGGACCUAGCAAUUAUUUCUCGGAUCUCGCUGCUUGCGAAGCAAAGUGCAAGGAAUAAGAAAAUAAUGUAUAUGUAUAUGCCUACUGUAUACCAGCCUUAUAAAAUACUAUAAGCACUUACACACAUAGCGAGUAUCCAGAUUCAAUACAAAUCAAAAGUUCGUCAUCCUGACUAUAAAGUUAGAUUCAAUCUAAUAACAAACAAAUACAUGUCAGUCUAGCUAGGAUUAUAAUAAACUGUCUUAUGUUGUAAAGAGAACUUUAAUUAGAAUUUAAGUUUUUUUUUUGCUUCCCAAGCCAAAAAUUAAAAUUUAUUUAUGUUAAAAUUA